This 550-nucleotide ribosomal RNA is filed under the name uncultured bacterium. Its description in RNAcentral is "bacterial SSU rRNA". It matches the Rfam family "Bacterial small subunit ribosomal RNA", at positions 355 to 896 of the family's 1533-position model. The record is from RNAcentral.
UAGGGAAUCUUCGGCAAUGGGGGCAACCCUGACCGAGCAACGCCGCGCGAGUGAAGAAGGUUUUCGGAUCGUAAAGCUCUGUUGUAAGAGAAGAACGAGUGUGAGAGUGGAAAGUUCACGCUGUGACGGUAUCUUACCAGAAAGGGACGGCUAACUACGUGCCAGCAGCCGCGGUAAUACGUAGGUCCCGAGCGUUAUCCGGAUUUAUUGGGCGUAAAGCGAGCGCAGGCGGUUAGAUAAGUCUGAAGUUAAAGGCUGUGGCUUAACCAUAGUACGCUUUGGAAACUGUUUAACUUGAGUGCAGAAGGGGAGAGUGGAAUUCCAUGUGUAGCGGUGAAAUGCGUAGAUAUAUGGAGGAACACCGGUGGCGAAAGCGGCUCUCUGGUCUGUAACUGACGCUGAGGCUCGAAAGCGUGGGGAGCAAACAGGAUUAGAUACCCUGGUAGUCCACGCCGUAAACGAUGAGUGCUAGGUGUUGGGUCCUUUCCGGGACUCAGUGCCGCAGCUAACGCAUUAAGCACUCCGCCUGGGGAGUACGACGGCAAGGUUG